CGUAUGGGCUGCGUUCAACAACAAAAGAAAAGAGUGGAGCGUCCAAACUCGAUUCAGUGAAGGAGGAGAAUGAAUCGAGAUGAAAACACAGUCUGCUCUGCUCAGCUGACAACCAAUCAAAUAAGAUCUUUGAAUGCGGCAGGCAUCCACCUCUGCCUCGUAAAGGAGUUGUUGUUUACUACUCUGCUCUGCCGAUCUCAGGUUUCAUCCCCUCGGGCACUGCUGGACUGUCAUCUCCCCAGAGGGAGGGGCUGUGACAUAAAACAAACACAGAUAUGCCAGGGUCACAGCCUGAAACACCUACUGCAACCCGACACCACAGCCAGGCCAGGCCAGCCAGCAGACUAGCAUUCCACAUGGCAGCGUGUCUGUGUUUGUGUGAGUCCAGAACCAUACCCAUACUGGCAUGGUGAUAGAGAGCGGGAGCAGAUCUGGAACUAGCCCAUGAAUGUAUGUGUUCCCUGACGUAUCCCCCGGAACAUUCUUUGCAUUAACUCAAGCUUGUUAAAAAGGGACUUCGACAAGGACGCCCCUCAUCUCUGCUGUUUGUUUGAGACUGUAUCAAGGAGAAGAUGAGAGCGAACAUUUUGGGAACAAGUGUGUCAUUAAUACAAGUAGACAAACUGAAAAAAGAAAUGGAAAUGAACUGAAUUUUGGCCUUGACGCAUUGUAAUGCAUGCAGCGAACCACACUGGAUGGAUCUGAAAUUG
Molecule: long non-coding RNA, 710 nt
Organism: Siniperca chuatsi (mandarin fish)
Lineage: Eukaryota; Metazoa; Chordata; Actinopteri; Centrarchiformes; Sinipercidae
Exons: 4
Source: RefSeq, a predicted model, not a curated record